This is a long non-coding RNA of Thunnus maccoyii (southern bluefin tuna), 1587 nucleotides long. RefSeq lists it as uncharacterized. The transcript has 4 exons. The record is from RefSeq and is a predicted model, not a curated record. Lineage: Eukaryota; Metazoa; Chordata; Actinopteri; Scombriformes; Scombridae.
UCAGUGCUUAACUCAGAGUAGAACAAACAAUGAAAAGCUCUAGGCUCAAACAAACACUUUUAUCAAGGCAGUGUGCAGGGAGGAGUAUAAUUUGAUGUAGCAUGUCUAUCCUGGGCAAGUCUCAUUAAAGGGACCCGCUUCUUAAAGUGCACUAUUCAAUGUUUUACAAGGGUGACUCCUCGCUGCCUGAUUUAAACUCUGCAUCUCCCACAGACCAAGAUAAAAGAACUCACUGUCUGGGGUUCCUGGAGAUGUCUGGAGCCUCCAAGCCAACUUUCAAGACGGCUGUAGCUCUUCUGUAGGAUCAGACCAGAUGGGCUAGCCUUCGUUCCCCACAUGCAUCAAUGAGCCUUGGGUGCUCAUGACCCUGUCGCUGGUUCACCGGUUGUCCCUCUUUGGACCACUAUUGUUUGAAUGCUGUGGCACCCAACUGCCAGCCUAGGCUUUGCUCCGUGCAUCUCAUUUCUCUGCUGACACCAAGAAACCCCCAUAUUGCCACUUCCACCCAGGGGGAAUGUGUGUUGCAGCUUCAGUAAUUAUCCUGCUGGAUUGGAAGUGCUGAGGCCAAAAGGGGAAACCUCAGAGUGCAGUAAACCUUGCUGUCAGUGUCACCACCACACAUGGUAAAAGAAAGUGCAACCCAAAUUUAAAUAGGUCAUCAACAGAAAGGGCAGAGUGAGCAGAGAUAGAAAAAUAGAGAAAAUAGAGAUGUUCUGGGGGUUUUCUUUUCUUUCUGCUUACCUGACACUGUAAACUCCCCACAGAAUCAAGACAAAAGCCAAAAUAAAGCAGGAAAAUGCACUGAAGAAGCAGUUUUUAAUCCUUUUGUGUAUUUGUCAUGUGAGUAAACAUAUUCAUUAAGCAUAUUCACUGUGUGUUCACAGAUGUAAUGGUAGAAAACCAGAGAGAGAAGAAAAGUGGUGAAUAAAGUUUCAAAAACUGAACUUUCUUUUCCAAACUUCCACUGCAAACUUUGUUACAUUUACCAAACAGCUGUCUGUUCUCUUGCAAGAUAUCUCAUGUAAAUGGUUUCUGUAUGGUAAAUACGCAACUUGGAUAUGUGCUCCAUUUUUAAUGAGGUAACUGAGCCCCAUUUCUACAUGGGUUGAGCUACUAACAUUCAAUUUUAAGAUGUUUCCCCAGCAAAUCUGAAAAUUAAAUUACAGUACAUGUUAGAGAAAAACAAUUAUAUCACUGUUCUGACUGCUCAUUGUGAUUGGCUGACAGUUAUGUCAGUAUCUCCUUGAUCCAUGCACCCUGAAUGCAUCACUGUAAGUACCACUUUUCUUUGUGUAACUUUUCGCCCCUUGUAUCUUAGCAACCACUAGAGCUGCCAGCUAUCUGUAACACAGUAACCAAAAUUAGCAGUUUACUACUGAGCACAAGUGAGCGGAAUCAAUUUUGUCAAACCUUUUGUUAUUUGAUGAUAAUGUUCCAAAUGAAAGGUUUACUUCACUUCACUUUACUUCACACGACAACAGAAUAUAUUAGAGUUUGUUGUUACUUUCUCAUUCAAUAUUGCAUUGAGUAGAUGACAGAAUAGUUUUACACAGCUGGCCAAGAGAUGUUCAAGGAGGUAAUGAUGGG